GAUGAAGAACGUAGCGAAAUGCGAUACGUAAUGUGAAUUGCAGAAUUCAGUGAAUCAUCGAAUCUUUGAACGCAUAUUGCGCUCUUUGGUAUUCCGAAGAGCAUGCUUGUUUGAGUAUCAGUAAACACCUCAAAGACUUCAAUUUGUUUUGAAUGGCUUUGGACUUGAGCAAUCCCAACACCAGUCUUUACGAUCGGUGGAGGGUUGCUUGAAAUGCAGGUGCAGCUGGACAUUCUCCUGAGCUAAAAGCAUAUUUAUUUAGUCCCGUCAAACGGAUUAUUACUUUUGCUGCAGCUAACAUAAAGGGAGUUUGACCGUAUUGGCUGACUGAUGCAGGAUUUCACAAGGGUCGGCAACGAUUCUUGUAAAACUCGAUCUCAAAUCAAGUAAGACUACCCGCUGAACUUAAGCAUAUCAAUAAGCGGGGA
RNAcentral lists this unclassified non-coding RNA (428 nucleotides) under soil metagenome. RNAcentral describes it as "partial contains 5.8S ribosomal RNA, internal transcribed spacer 2, and large subunit ribosomal RNA". The stretch from base 1 to 120 matches the Rfam family "5.8S ribosomal RNA", at positions 35 to 154 of the family's 154-position model. The record is from RNAcentral.